RNAcentral lists this unclassified non-coding RNA (239 nucleotides) under uncultured fungus. RNAcentral's name for it is "sequence contains ITS1, 5.8S rRNA gene". The stretch from base 191 to 239 matches the Rfam family "5.8S ribosomal RNA", at positions 1 to 49 of the family's 154-position model. The record is from RNAcentral. Lineage: Eukaryota; Fungi.
UUUCCGUUGGUGAACCAGCGGAAGGAUCAUUACAGAGAUCAUGCCCUCUAAGGGUAGACCUCCCACCCUGUGUUAAUACUCUUGUUGCUUUGGCAGGCCGCCUUCGGGCUCUCGGCUCCGGCUGAGGUGCGCCUGCCAGAGGACCCCAACUCUGUGUUUAGUGUCGUCUGAGUACUAUAUAAUAAGUUAAAACUUUCAACAACGGAUCUCUUGGUUCUGGCAUCGAUGAAGAACGCAGC